AAUAUUGGACAAUGGGCGGAAGCCUGAUCCAGCCAUGCCGCGUGUGUGAAGAAGGUCNNNGGAUUNUCAAGCACUUUAAUUUGNGAGNAAGGGUUUACACCUAAUACGUGUGAACUUUGACGUUACCAACAGAAUAAGCACCGGCUAACUUCGUGCCAGCAGCCGCGGUAAUACGAAGGGUGCAAGCGUUAAUCGGAAUUACUGGGCGUAACGCGCGCGUAGGUGGUUUGUCAAGUUGGAAGUGAAAGCCCCGGGCUCAACCUGGGAACUGCUUUCAAAACUGGCAAGCUAGAGUAUGGCAGAGGGUGGUGGAAUUUCCUGUGUAGCGGUGAAAUGCGUAGAUAUAGGAAGGAACACCAGUGGCGAAGGCGACCACCUGGACUGAUACUGACACUGAGGUGCGAAAGCGUGGGGAGCAAACAGG
Molecule: ribosomal RNA, 424 nt
Filed under: uncultured bacterium
Lineage: Bacteria
Description: partial 16S ribosomal RNA
Rfam family: Bacterial small subunit ribosomal RNA
Source: RNAcentral